UGGUGUUGAAUUCAAUUAAGACAAUCAAUACUAUUUUGUCUUUCUUUUAUAUAAUGGAGGAAAUGACACAAAGAUGUUUGUUAGUAUAUGAUAUAUAAAAAAGAAGGUUCUUAUAUUGAGUAUAAGAAGUUGUCUUAACGUAAAAUAGUUCAUUUAGUGACAUGUCAGAGUCUCUUUCAAUUGAGAGGUAAUUUGUUGAGUGUUGACGAUUGCAGCCAUAAAGUCGGGGACAGAAAAUACAAACAACCAUGAGAUGGUUGAAGUGUUGCAAGGACAUAAAAAUUUUGGACGUCUAUGAUCGAAAAAUAAUAUGCUCCUUCGUGAGUUGAAGAAUAUACGGUCUUUUCAAGAAAUAUUUUGACCAAUUUAAAGAAAAGAAAUGGUUGAAGUGCAACUGUUAUCAAACAUAUUUAUAAUCCACAUCACAAGUAUAGAUAGUCUAUCAAGGGGUCCAAGAUCAGAAAUGCAACAUCGCAUGAAAUCGUUGGUCAAUGGUCAUUAUGGGUUUCGUGUAGUUGCAGGCAUACAUGAUAUGUUUGUUUAAGAUUGUCAUAUUAUACGUCUUAAACUUUUAAAAGACCUGAAUAGUGAUCGGAAACGUUUGUUGGAACAAAAUUGGUUUUGUACAAUGCCUCUGAUGUUUUGAUGAUAACAAAGUAUUGAAGAAUAAUUGGAUAUGUUAAUACGUGCUUAAGUGUGCAGGACCAUAGAUUAAAAUUUAUCAAGGUCUGAGCAUAUAUGAGAGCAUCAGAAGCACAAGAGAAAUUAAAAGACUUCGUAGAAGAUCUGAAGAAAUGUCAACCAUAAGUCAACAUUUUGGAUCAUAAGAAGAGUUGCACCCAGAGGCUUAUAAAGAUCAUAAUAAUCUGAAGGCCAUAUCUGAAGGACAUGUCAGACUUUGUCUUCUUCUCAAGAUGUCACUUUCGGAUAGUACAAUUUGUCUUCUUCUGAAUCACAUGUUAAGUCAAAUUCAAGGGCAAAUGAAAUGAAACGGAUGAUUCUAUUUGCAGCAAUAGAUUUCGAAUGUCUUUUCGAACGACAUUAACCGUAUCAGACAACAUUCCAACAUCUUGAUUUGAUAGCUUCUCAAGGACUCUUAAUGCGCUGACACUUCUCCAACGUCUCUCAAUUCAUUGCAUAUAUAAGGAACUGAAGACUUGAAGAACUCUACAAGACUUUCUAAUUUUAACUUGUGUCCGUACUCUAUCAAAUUCAAAAGCGCAUAAACACUUAAGAAUUUAUUACUAAGUUCAUAUCUUUAGAAAUUCUAAGUCUUAAGAGUCAUACUCUUUUUUUUUUGAAUCGGCAAAUAUUAUUAAACACCAUCCUCGCAAGACGCAAGGUAUGACGAAACAAGAUACAAAUGGUGCCGCAUAUAGACGAUACACCAUAACCACCUAAAAACACCCCUGAAGAUAAACCCACCAAAACAUGUCACCACCUAAAACACC
RNAcentral lists this long non-coding RNA (1451 nucleotides) under Medicago truncatula (barrel medic). RNAcentral's name for it is "long non-coding RNA (MTRU_LNC004813)". Lineage: Eukaryota; Viridiplantae; Streptophyta; Magnoliopsida; Fabales; Fabaceae. The record is from RNAcentral.